Molecule: non-coding RNA, 735 nt
Filed under: Pongo abelii (Sumatran orangutan)
Lineage: Eukaryota; Metazoa; Chordata; Mammalia; Primates; Hominidae
Source: RNAcentral
CACUAUAUUGGUCUGUCAUCAUCCCUUGGCCUCUCACCUGAUGCAGCCAGUCCAGGGACAGAAUGGGGAUUCCCCGCCCCAGGGCACACAGGAACUUGACUGUCCGGCGGAUGCGAUCAGUGACCAGACACCUGAUGCUUCUUUAUAUGUAUAAUGGCUGACCCUGGCGGAACUUCCUCCUCCACUUGUGUGUUGAUGUCCACUGUGGUGGAGGCUUGGCUUCUCUCCAGGUGGAUCCCAGACGUGCCAAAGUCAGCGCUGCUGAGACUUCUUCCUCGUCAUCUGUAUCGCUGUUGAUAACCAUGGAAGCUUGGCUUUUCUCCAGAGGGACAGCCUGUGGGGCAUUGCCUUCCUCCACAUCUGUAUCACUACCAGCCUGGCUCUCCUGCAGAUGGGUCAGGCCUGGUGCUCCAGGACCCCUUGUACCAACUCCAUGGAAGAUCUUCCUCUUCUUCAUAGGAAUGACAACUGGGGUUGCUGGGAUCCCCUCUUCUUCCGCAUCAGUGUCGCUGUCGAUGAAGCCAAAAGGCUGAGCCCUUUCCAAAUGGACCUCAGCUGGCCUUCCAGGCCUGCUGUCAUCAUCCACAUCUGUGUCACUGUCCUCUCCAGGAGGUUGGCUCCUCUCCAGAAUCACCCCAGCUGGAACCACCCCAUUCCCUGCACCCCUCUUGACUUUUGUAUCAUCGUCCCUCUCCUUCACUAAAGGCUGAUCCUUUUCAAGCUGGAUUUCAGUUA